AUUUAUAUAAUUUAAACUAGAAUAUUGCAUUGAAGCUGCAAAAGUGGUAAAAUUACCUGUAAAUA
Molecule: transfer RNA, 65 nt
Filed under: Puerulus angulatus
Lineage: Eukaryota; Metazoa; Arthropoda; Malacostraca; Decapoda; Palinuridae
Description: tRNA-Phe
Source: RNAcentral